GUUCUGCACGUCAAAAUCCCACUUAUGUCAAAGCAGCCUGGUGUCUUUGAGGAGCGCGUUCACGAUGCCUGUCAAUUCCAUGCGCAUUCUAAGCCCCGCCCUCUAUGCGGUUUAAUGGGCAAAAUACCUGACCAGGUGGAGGCGCUGCUGCAGAGUGAAAGACAAUCCUGUUAUUUCCUGUGACAUCCGGACCUCAGGAAGGAAUAAGGGGGAAAAGUUAAAAUCGGGAGAAACAACGUGGUCACAGGAAUUCAUCGGCGUCUCCAGUGAUGGAAACGGGACGCCCGGGUGGACGCACUACUUCUCUGCGAGCGUCAAUAUUCCGUCUGUCAAGCAUUGAUUCCAAAUCAAUCAGCGCCCACUUUGAAGAGCGACUGGAUACGCGGGAUGUGAAAGAAUAAUUCACUGGUUUUGGGCACGUCCCCCCACUCCCCCCGUUCCCCCCGGAGCCGUGGAGGUGAGGAGCCUGGGUGGCAGCGCAGCACGCCGGGGCCUCCCUGGCUGGCGCCUGUAAUUUUACCUUCACAUUCAUCAGCCGGAGAUAUUAAUAAUAACUGCACAUCUGGAUUCACUUUACCGUCUCGCGUUCAGCCCCCCCCUUCUGCGUCUCCUCCACUGCUGCAGUUCCCCUGUUUGAGUCUCCGCUCACCUGAGCAGCUUCACGUCGACGUGUUGCUUCUGUCUCAAAUGAUGGAUAUGGAGCGUCCUUUUAUUAACGGCCAUGAAGAGA
Gasterosteus aculeatus aculeatus (three-spined stickleback) is the source of this 730-nucleotide long non-coding RNA. The record is from Ensembl. NCBI's taxonomy places the organism in Eukaryota, Metazoa, Chordata, Actinopteri, Perciformes, Gasterosteidae.